Molecule: ribosomal RNA, 482 nt
Filed under: uncultured bacterium
Lineage: Bacteria
Description: partial 16S ribosomal RNA
Rfam family: Bacterial small subunit ribosomal RNA
Source: RNAcentral
GACGAACGCUGGCGGCGUGCUUAACACAUGCAAGUCGAACGAUGAAGAAGAGAAACGCGAACUUCGGUUCAAAUUUCACUUCGGAUUAGUGGCAGACGGGUGAGUAACGCGUGAGCAACCUACCUCUUACAAAGGGAUAGCCUCGGGAAACCGUGAUUAAUACCAUAUGACACAUUCAUAAGGCAUCUUAAGAAUGUUAAAGCUACGGCGGUAAGAGAUGGGCUCGCGUCCCAUUAGCUAGUUGGUGAGGUAACGGCCCACCAAGGCGACGAUGGGUAACCGGCCUGAGAGGGUGAACGGUCACAUUGGAACUGAGACACGGUCCAAACUCCUACGGGAGGCAGCAGUGGGGAAUAUUGCACAAUGGAGGGAACUCUGAUGCAGCGACGCCGCGUGAGCGAUGAAGGAAUUCGUUUCGUAAAGCUCUGUUAUAUGGGAAGAAAAGGACUGUACCAUAGGAGAAAGCCCCGGCUAAAUACGUG